GGUCUAUGAUGACAAACAUAUGUCAUGAAAAGAGAUGGCAACAUAAAAAUCAUGCUGAAUAGAAUGAUGCUAAGGACA
Molecule: small nucleolar RNA, 78 nt
Organism: Peromyscus leucopus (white-footed mouse)
Lineage: Eukaryota; Metazoa; Chordata; Mammalia; Rodentia; Cricetidae
Product: small nucleolar RNA SNORD115
Exons: 1
Source: RefSeq, a predicted model, not a curated record